AGAGUUUGAUCCUGGCUCAGGAUGAACGCUAGCGGCAGGCCUAAUACAUGCAAGUCGAACGGCAAGUUUUGUAGCAAUACGGAACCUAGAGUGACGUACGGGUGCGUAACACGUAUGCAACCUACCCAUAACUGGAGGAUAGCUCCCCGAAAGGGGAAUUAACCCUCCAUAGUAUAAUUGGAUGGCAUCAUUUGAUUAUUAAAACUCCGGUGGUUAUGGAUGGGCAUGCGUCUGAUUAGUUAGUUGGCGGUGUAACGGACCACCAAGACGAUGAUCAGUAGGGGAACUGAGAGGUUGAUCCCCCACACUGGCACUGAGAUACGGGCCAGACUCCUACGGGAGGCAGCAGUAGGGAAUAUUGGUCAAUGGAUGCAAGUCUGAACCAGCCAUGCCGCGUGCAGGAAGAAGGCCCUAUGGGUUGUAAACUGCUUUUGCCAGGGGAUAAAAUAUCCUUGCGAGGAUAAUUGAAGGUACCUGGUGAAUAAGCCACGGCUAACUACGUGCCAGCAGCCGCGGUAAUACGUAGGUGGCAAGCGUUGUCCGGAUUUAUUGGGUUUAAAGGGUGCGUAGGCGGUCUUAUAAGUCAGUGCUGAAAUAUCCCGGCUUAACCGGGAGGGUGGCAUUGAUACUGUAGGACUUGAGUAAAGUUGAGGUAGGCGGAAUUGACGGUGUAGCGGUGAAAUGCUUAGAUAUCGUCAAGAACACCGAUAGUGAAGACAGCUUACUAAACUUUAACUGACGCUGAGGCACGAAAGUGUGGGGAUCAAACAGGAUUAGAUACCCCGGUAGUCCAA
This 794-nucleotide ribosomal RNA is filed under the name uncultured bacterium. RNAcentral's name for it is "bacterial SSU rRNA". It matches the Rfam family "Bacterial small subunit ribosomal RNA", at positions 8 to 798 of the family's 1533-position model. The record is from RNAcentral.